GUGUCAGCCGCCGCGGUAAUACGUAGGGGGCGAACGUUGUCCGGAUUUAUUGGGCGUAAAGGGUACGCAGGCGGCCAUAUAAGUCAGAUGUGAAAGACCAAGGCUCAACCUUGGUUAGCAUUUGAAACUGUGUGGCUUGAGUUAAGGAGAGGAAAGUGGAAUUCCUAGUGUAGCGGUGAAAUGCGUAGAUAUUAGGAGGAAUACCAGUGGCGAAGGCGACUUUCUGGACUUAUACUGACGCUGAGGUACGAAAGCGUGGGGAGCAAACAGGAUUAGAUACCCUGGUAGUCCACGCCGUAAACGAUGAGUGCUAGGUGUCGGGGGUCAAACCUCGGUGCCGCAGCUAACGCAUUAAGCACUCCGCCUGGGGAGUACGUACGCAAGUAUGAA
RNAcentral lists this ribosomal RNA (390 nucleotides) under uncultured bacterium. RNAcentral describes it as "bacterial SSU rRNA". It matches the Rfam family "Bacterial small subunit ribosomal RNA", at positions 505 to 898 of the family's 1533-position model. The record is from RNAcentral.